RNAcentral lists this long non-coding RNA (3959 nucleotides) under Eucalyptus grandis. RNAcentral describes it as "long non-coding RNA (EGRA_LNC001073)". Lineage: Eukaryota; Viridiplantae; Streptophyta; Magnoliopsida; Myrtales; Myrtaceae. The record is from RNAcentral.
CCACCAACUGCUUAGUGCAAUCAAUGCCAUUGAAAUAAAUGACAACCUCUUCCCAAAUGCAAUUGAUACAUUUCCAAGAAACAUCUCAAACUUCCACUCUAUAAAAAGCUACUCAAAUAGGUGAAGCAACAACCUGAAUCAAUUCGCAUGGCCACUGCAGAGAAGACAGCCAACUACAUCACGUCUUGAAGGGGCAGGAUCCCAGGUAUCAUCAUUGAAAACCAAAAUCUCAUGAUGCUAUCUCCUUCACCAGCCAUCCCAAAACAGGGUAUGCAAAGUACAAUACCAAAAACGAGGGUAUCGCAAAAGGAAUAGUGAGCAGAAGAUACAGGAGCAAGAUGACAGCGCAAGUGGGCAGCACAGAAAACGGAAUCAGUAGGAACACAAUAACCAAUGGGAACUUAGACAUGAUGUCAAUGAAUAUAUCCAGAGAUUUAGGGAAAAGGGAAUGCUGUCCAUCGGAACUGCAACCGACAUUUUCCAUCUGGGACAAUUGCCUGGAAUUUCAAGAACUUGGCUGCCGUCUGAGGCUACCAUUGCCAGAUCGAUUUCCAAGAGCUAGAUUGUGCCUUGGAGAGCUAACUGAUUGAUGUUCAAGAGAGAAAUUGGAAGUGAACUUGGUCCGGUCCCCAUUCAAGCUCUCGACCAUCCAAAGAAGGAAGAAGUUCUUGAGAGGGAUUUUUAGGUUCCCCCUAUAAAUCCACCUUAAUGACAACAAGUGGCACCUGGGACAGGAAAUGAGAAAGGGUAUCUUAAUUUUUUGUCCUAGAAAAUUCAAAAGAGCUGAUUGAAGGGCGAGGACACAGUUCUUGCAGAGUGUAUGGCCGCACAAUAGAACAUAAGGCACAUUCUCAAAUAUAUUGAAUGACUCCCCGCAUAUGGGGCAAUCCAAGCCUUCAUCCCUGCUCACAUUUGAAGCAACCUCAUCAUCUGAGCACUCCUGACAAACUUGAGUUGGCUCACCAGAGCUUUUUUUCAAUCCGAUGCUUAAAAUCACAUUUAACAUAAACUUCCACAUCACAACAAUCAAAUAAUUUGCUCGAGGAUGAAGGUCCUAAAGGCCAUAACUGCGAAUUGCAUGCCAUCUAACCUAAGAAACUCUCAAAGGAAAAAUCUUAAGCAGAAUACAGCCUGUAAGUUUCUCUAUCAGCUCCCUUCUCCGACUCACAGGUGAGGCAACAGCUUUGUCUGUUCAAACCUGACCUGAAUUAAACACAAGGAAAACAGUUAACCUUAUGCAUACUACUCAUGAUAUUUUACUUUCAAAGACUACAGUUUCCAUACCAAAAUGCAAUGGAACUAUGGGGAAUUUUGGAGUGAGCUCCAAGUUAUUCAGUCUUCUUGCGCUCCAACCUUUUAGACAAACCUAAAAAGAGUUUCAUUGUUCUUCUGCCAUAAGUUCUGGUAACAUACCGCCGUGCAAAAUCUUGGAUGGCUUUAAGGCUUUAGGGUGCUUCGUUUUGCAAAAGAGAGCACAAGAGAAAAGGGCACAAAAGUUAGAGUCUUCCUUCAGCAGAAAGUAAGUCAAAAUGCGGCAGAGGCAUGCAGAGAGAGAAUACUUUGCUUGACCUUAUGUUGGCUGCCGAGAAGAUCCAAACCAGGCUUUGCAUGCAAAGCAUAUGGAACUUUGCUUGCAAAACUCCUACGUAUCACAGAAGUCAUCAAGUCUCUUCUUCUUCUUCUUCUUCUUCUUCUUCUUCUUCUUCUCUCUCUCUCUCUCUCUCUCUCUCUCUCAGAAGGAACCAGCAACAUCAAGGACAGAAAGACACCAGCCCAGAAGACUCGAUCUUUCAAAGGAGGUAAUUCAAACUCGGUUUACUAAUAUGUCAUUCGCUUAGUGCUGCUUAGCAAAUACCUUGUUGCUAAAAGCACUAGUUCUUUCAUUAAAGAGAAAAGUCAUUUUACCAUGUCCAUAUCUAUAAUAAUCUAUCUAAUGAAUCCACUUUCAUGUCAUUGAUAAAGUCUAAACAUGGUGAUUAGCCUUCAAAAACCAAAGCUGGUUGCAGAGACAAUUCACCAAACAAAUGUGCUGGAGCGAUGGACCUGGAGGCGAAGACGUGGCCACUGCAGCCGUGGCUGCCGCAGCCUUUGCAGCCAACAAGAUCGAAAAUUCAGCCACACCCGACCGCAGCCCAACGAGUGCGGGCCCUGAGAGCACAUUAUCUAAGGCCAAGUCGAAAAGGCAUAACGUAUUGACGCAACUAGAAACUGGUACGGCAUCUGGGAUGAUCUUGCCCACUAAUAUAAGAAAAGUGCACUUAUAAAAGAUUCUAUGUGGCGUCAACUGAUGGGAACCUUAGUUUCUUACAUCGACAGGUGAAGAAUCAAUAAAGAGCCUAGACAGAAAAAUACCGAUAACCGGUCCCGCGCAACCCGUGCAAAAACGUCCUAGUUUUGCCGAGAAGCUCUUGGAAAGCACCGAGGACGCCAAAGGAGGAGCACCCACACCGCCAAAACCAUCCCCUUUCAUCAAGAAGGCCUCCUUAUCAGCUGAUAAACAGUUCAAGAAGGUCACCGCUAUGACAGCCGAGAUCUCAUCGACUGAACCGCUUCCCACCACCAAACCCGCAGCUCCACCGCCACCCAAUGGAAGCGAAUUGAAUGAGAAGGACCAGAUGAGACAGGACUUGUUUUGGAUCAAGAAAAGGUCAGCUUUUUAAUAGUUAAUUCAGUAUCAUCUUUGCCUCUCUUGGAGAAAAUGAAUUGCUCAUUGGCUGAAACAUCUCGGUCAAAAAGUUCCAACCAAUUUCCCUUAACACAGUUUCUUUUUCCCAGUUACGACAACCUGAUAUCAGUUAUAGCUACGUGGGAGAGCCGAAAGAAGCUAAAGGCCAAACGCAAAUUGGACGAGACGCAGGUUCGGUUAAAGCCACCAGUCCGCAGUUAGUUAUCAAAUAAAGUUUCUUUUUUUUUUUUUUACUCUUCCUAUAUUCUUUGUAAUGUGGCUGCAGAGGGAACUGGACAGAAAAAAAGCCAAAGCAUCGCAAAUACAUCGGUCCAUCCAGAGGGAACUGGAGAAAAAAGGAGAAGAAGCAUCGAAAACAUAUUGGACCCAGAAGGAGAGGAUUGAACUGAUCACGGCUGCAGCGAGAGCACAGGCAAAGGAAAGGCAAAGGAGUGAAGAGUUGAAGGCUAGAGAUAAAUCAAAUAGACCCACAACCACUUGGAAACUUCCGAUUACAUGUCUCUGCGUUAGAAAUCGUCGGCCCUGAACUGCCACUCCCAAAAUACUCGAAGCUGAGGACGUAAAAUAUAUUCUUUCCUAUCCGUUUCUCUCAGUGUGACCACAAGAAUACCUUUGCACAGUCUGAGUUUGCAAUAUGUUACGUGACCCCUUCAUAUCAUUUGCUGUUAAGGUAACAGUGGAUAUGAUAAAUUUCAUCACCCAAGACUAAAUUUUGGUGUUUUUUGUUGUUGGGGGUGGGGGUGGCGGUUGUACAGCAGUACAUUUUACUAUUUCACUAAAAACAUUAGCCCAUAAUGAAGAGCCAGCAAUAGUAGAACAAAAAUUGCGGCAUAGCCAGCGCAAUAUGCAGAAAAGUUGCAAUAAAACAAUCCAUACAAGUGCUGUCCCUAGCUAUAUCUCCAUCAUGGCCACCAAGAAAGUGAACGACCUUUUGGAUACCCUUAUUGCACCUAAUGUACAUCAACAUAUAACAGACUUAGAUUGUACCACCAGCUGCUUAGUGCAAUCAAUGCCAUUGAAAUAAAUAUCAACCUCUUCCCAAAUGCAAUAGAUACAUUUCCAAGAAACACCUCAAACUUCCACUCUAUAAAAAGCUACUCAAAUAGGUGAAGCAACAACCUGAAUCAAUUCGCAUGGCCACUGCAGAGAAAACAGCCAGCUACAUCACAUCUUGAACAGGCAGGAUCCCAGGCUUUGUGAUUGAAAACCUAAAUCUCACGAUGUUAUCUCCUUCACUAGCCAUCCCAAAACGGGGUAUGCAAAGUACAAUACC